Non-coding RNA from Salmo salar (Atlantic salmon), 1007 nucleotides. The record is from RefSeq and is a predicted model, not a curated record. Lineage: Eukaryota; Metazoa; Chordata; Actinopteri; Salmoniformes; Salmonidae.
UCCUAUUUCUUCAAGACUGGACAUAUAACUGGAUGUCUUGACAAACUUUCCUCCACCAACUGGUUUGGGGAGCCCGGUUGCACAGAGGAACUGUUUCGCCAUACAAGCUUUUGUCGGAACUUAUCUGGAGCCAUCGACCUUAUACCAGGAGUCGACAAUCUGGAGGUAUGAGAGGUCAGGUUGUGACGUCCAACAGACUACAACGCAGAGGUUUUCACUCAUGUGCGUGGUUGUUGCCUCAACCAAACCCCUCUAUCAGACUGCACUUUGUUCCAUCGAAGUAGUCCCCAAUACGAGGAAAUGUAACUCUAACCCAACACUGUAUUCGAAGUAAGAGGUCGAGGACAUCUUAUGAACGUGCAGUCAACGUUACUCAAAUUAUAGCUUGGAGAAGAGACCCUUAAACAGACUUUGACCCCACACCCUCUGCCAACUAGCUGGCAGAUUUGCAGAUUUGUUCCCAAUGAGGAGGAGAAGCUCAACGUCUGAGAUGACUAGCCCCCAGCACAAUUCUUCACUCAAUUCCCCUUGAACGCCACGCAAAGAGGGAACCGUUCGAUUAACCACGCUGACAAAUGCUACCAUCUGCCGCUCCUGCAGUUAAUAUUUUCCAUCUCGGACAAAAGAUGGAGUAACCCUCCCAAAUAAGCCAUAUGUAUUUAAAAAAUAAUUCAACUAACUUGUGUUAAUUUAUUACGUGUCAGAUUGUUUUAAAUGAUAUCUGUGAAAGACAAUUUAUUUGCAUUUCUGCUCACUGUAUUGAUUAGUGAGCCCUCAAAUGAUACUUAAGGCUUGUUUGCUACGUAGGUCAUUUGCCUUUGCAUUUUUGGGUUGGACAAAAGAUGUUAACCCACAAAUGUUGGCCUAGGUUUUUUGCCGAAGUAACAAUGUCUUAUUGUAUAUAAAAUAUUUUAUUUGAUUUCAACUAACUUGUUUUAAUUCAACUAAGUUUUCUGCGAUUGUUCAAAUGGUAGCUGGGGAAACUUAUUAAAACAAUAUAGUUUACA